AGGAAUUCUGCUGCAACUUCUGCUUUCGGUCGCCCAACGUCUUUUGGUCGAAACAGAAACUGUCGGUUAAGGUUAGACACAUCUAUAGUAUCCAUGUCAAUAACAUGGAUCUGCCUAAAACCGGACAGUGCCAGGUUUUUCAGGAGUUCGCAUCCUAAUCCUCCUGCUCCAAUAACCAGUACUUUACAUGUGCUUAACAGAAAGUCAAGAGCUUGAGUGCCUGGCUCGAAAUCAGGAUGUGUGAACGGUCCAGAUCGCUCGAGGAACUUCUUUACAUGGUUCCAGCGACCUUCCCAGUCUCCAGAGUCCCCAUACCCACCAUCAACAGCCAUUCCAUCCGCCAGCAGCUCCUCUAGCCUCCUUCUUUUCUUCUCCGGUUCCUCACCAUCCGCCAUAUUUUUU
RNAcentral lists this long non-coding RNA (402 nucleotides) under Gallus gallus (chicken). The record is from RNAcentral. Lineage: Eukaryota; Metazoa; Chordata; Aves; Galliformes; Phasianidae.